Molecule: ribosomal RNA, 576 nt
Filed under: Bacteroides finegoldii
Lineage: Bacteria; Pseudomonadati; Bacteroidota; Bacteroidia; Bacteroidales; Bacteroidaceae
Description: bacterial SSU rRNA
Rfam family: Bacterial small subunit ribosomal RNA
Source: RNAcentral
CAGGUCGAGGGGCAGCAUUUUAGUUUGCUUGCAACUAAAGAUGGCGACCGGCGCACGGGUGAGUAACACGUAUCCAACCUGCCGAUAACUCAGGGAUAGCCUUUCGAAAGAAAGAUUAAUACCUGAUGGCAUAGGAUUAUCGCAUGAUGAUCCUAUUAAAGAAUUUCGGUUAUCGAUGGGGAUGCGUUCCAUUAGGCAGUUGGUGAGGUAACGGCUCACCAAACCUUCGAUGGAUAGGGGUUCUGAGAGGAAGGUCCCCCACAUUGGAACUGAGACACGGUCCAAACUCCUACGGGAGGCAGCAGUGAGGAAUAUUGGUCAAUGGACGGGAGUCUGAACCAGCCAAGUAGCGUGAAGGAUGACUGCCCUAUGGGUUGUAAACUUCUUUUAUACGGGAAUAAAGUGGUCCACGUGUGGAUUUUUGUAUGUACCGUAUGAAUAAGGAUCGGCUAACUCCGUGCCAGCAGCCGCGGUAAUACGGAGGAUCCGAGCGUUAUCCGGAUUUAUUGGGUUUAAAGGGAGCGUAGGUGGAUUGUUAAGUCAGUUGUGAAAGUUUGCGGCUCAACCGUAAAAUUG